GAGGAUAUAGCUAUUUCCUUUGCAUUUAUUAGUCUAAGUAAAGAGCGUGGAGGUUCGAGUCCUCUUCA
Molecule: transfer RNA, 68 nt
Filed under: Laurus azorica
Lineage: Eukaryota; Viridiplantae; Streptophyta; Magnoliopsida; Laurales; Lauraceae
Description: tRNA-Ala
Source: RNAcentral